AGAGUUUGAUCAUGGCUCAGAUUGAACGCUGGCGGCAGGCCUAACACAUGCAAGUCGAGCGGUAGCACAGAGAGCUUGCUCUCGGGUGACGAGCGGCGGACGGGUGAGUAAUGUCUGGGAAACUGCCUGAUGGAGGGGGAUAACUACUGGAAACGGUAGCUAAUACCGCAUAACGUCGCAAGACCAAAGUGGGGGACCUUCGGGCCUCAUGCCAUCAGAUGUGCCCAGAUGGGAUUAGCUAGUAGGUGGGGUAACGGCUCACCUAGGCGACGAUCCCUAGCUGGUCUGAGAGGAUGACCAGCCACACUGGAACUGAGACACGGUCCAGACUCCUACGGGAGGCAGCAGUGGGGAAUAUUGCACAAUGGGCGCAAGCCUGAUGCAGCCAUGCCGCGUGUGUGAAGAAGGCCUUCGGGUUGUAAAGCACUUUCAGCGGGGAGGAAGGCGGUGAGGUUAAUAACCUCAUCGAUUGACGUUACCCGCAGAAGAAGCACCGGCUAACUCCGUGCCAGCAGCCGCGGUAAUACGGAGGGUGCAAGCGUUAAUCGGAAUUACUGGGCGUAAAGCGCACGCAGGCGGUCUGUCAAGUCGGAUGUGAAAUCCCCGGGCUCAACCUGGGAACUGCAUUCGAAACUGGCAGGCUAGAGUCUUGUAGAGGGGGGUAGAAUUCCAGGUGUAGCGGUGAAAUGCGUAGAGAUCUGGAGGAAUACCGGUGGCGAAGGCGGCCCCCUGGACAAAGACUGACGCUCAGGUGCGAAAGCGUGGGGAGCAAACAGGAUUAGAUACCCUGGUAGUCCACGCCGUAAACGAUGUCGAUUUGGAGGUUGUGCCCUUGAGGCGUGGCUUCCGGAGCUAACGCGUUAAAUCGACCGCCUGGGGAGUACGGCCGCAAGGUUAAAACUCAAAUGAAUUGACGGGGGCCCGCACAAGCGGUGGAGCAUGUGGUUUAAUUCGAUGCAACGCGAAGAACCUUACCUGGUCUUGACAUCCACAGAACUUUCCAGAGAUGGAUUGGUGCCUUCGGGAACUGUGAGACAGGUGCUGCAUGGCUGUCGUCAGCUCGUGUUGUGAAAUGUUGGGUUAAGUCCCGCAACGAGCGCAACCCUUAUCCUUUGUUGCCAGCGGUUAGGCCGGGAACUCAAAGGAGACUGCCAGUGAUAAACUGGAGGAAGGUGGGGAUGACGUCAAGUCAUCAUGGCCCUUACGACCAGGGCUACACACGUGCUACAAUGGCAUAUACAAAGAGAAGCGACCUCGCGAGAGCAAGCGGACCUCAUAAAGUAUGUCGUAGUCCGGAUUGGAGUCUGCAACUCGACUCCAUGAAGUCGGAAUCGCUAGUAAUCGUAGAUCAGAAUGCUACGGUGAAUACGUUCCCGGGCCUUGUACACACCGCCCGUCACACCAUGGGAGUGGGUUGCAAAAGAAGUAGGUAGCUUAACCUUCGGGAGGGCGCUUACCACUUUGUGAUUCAUGACUGGGGUGAAGUCGUAACAAGGUAACCGUAGGGGAACCUGCGGUUG
Molecule: ribosomal RNA, 1520 nt
Filed under: Klebsiella pneumoniae
Lineage: Bacteria; Pseudomonadati; Pseudomonadota; Gammaproteobacteria; Enterobacterales; Enterobacteriaceae
Also listed under: 3 other names
Description: bacterial SSU rRNA
Rfam family: Bacterial small subunit ribosomal RNA
Source: RNAcentral